RNAcentral lists this ribosomal RNA (497 nucleotides) under uncultured bacterium. Its description in RNAcentral is "partial 16S ribosomal RNA". It matches the Rfam family "Bacterial small subunit ribosomal RNA", at positions 28 to 507 of the family's 1533-position model. The record is from RNAcentral.
GAUGAACGCUGGCGGCGUGCCUAAUACAUGCAAGUCGAGCGAACGGACGAGAAGCUUGCUUUUCUGAUGUUAGCGGCGGACGGGUGAGUAACACGUGGAUAACCUACCUAUAAGACUGGGAUAACUUCGGGAAACCGGAGCUAAUACCGGAUAAUAUUUUGAACCGCAUGGUUCAAAAGUGAAAGACGGUCUUGCUGUCACUUAUAGAUGGAUCCGCGCUGCAUUAGCUAGUUGGUAAGGUAACGGCUUACCAAGGCAACGAUGCAUAGCCGACCUGAGAGGGGGAUCGCCCACACUGGAACUGAGACACGGUCCAGACUCCUACGGGAGGCAGCAGUAGGGAAUCUUCCGCAAUGGGCGAAAGCCUGACGGAGCAACGCCGCGUGAGUGAUGAAGGUCUUCGGAUCUUAAAACUCUGUUAUUAGGGAAGAACAUAUGUGUAAGUAACUGUGCACAUCUUGACGGUACCUAAUCAGAAAGCCACGGCUAACUACGUG